RNAcentral lists this ribosomal RNA (694 nucleotides) under uncultured bacterium. RNAcentral's name for it is "bacterial SSU rRNA". It matches the Rfam family "Bacterial small subunit ribosomal RNA", at positions 111 to 823 of the family's 1533-position model. The record is from RNAcentral.
UAACGCGNGGGUAACCUGCCUCAUACNGGGGGAUAACAGUUAGAAAUGACUGCUAAUACCGCAUAAGACCGCAGAGCCGCAUGGCUCAGUGGGAAAAACUCCGGKGGUAUGAGAUGGACCCGCGUCUGAUUAGGUAGUUGGUGGGGUAACGGCCUACCAAGCCAACGAUCAGUAGCCGACCUGAGAGGGUGACCGGCCACAUUGGGACUGAGACACGGCCCAAACUCCUACGGGAGGCAGCAGUGGGGAAUAUUGCACAAUGGGGGAAACCCUGAUGCAGCGACGCCGCGUGAGCGAAGAAGUAUUUCGGUAUGUAAAGCUCUAUCAGCAGGGAAGAAAAUGACGGUACCUGACUAANAAGCACCGGCUAAAUACGUGCCAGCAGCCGCGGUAAUACGUAUGGUGCAAGCGUUAUCCGGAUUUACUGGGUGUAAAGGGAGCGUAGACGGCUGUGUAAGUCUGAAGUGAAAGCCCGGGGCUCAACCCCGGGACUGCUUUGGAAACUAUGCAGCUAGAGUGUCGGAGAGGUAAGUGGAAUUCCCAGUGUAGCGGUGAAAUGCGUAGAUAUUGGGAGGAACACCAGUGGCGAAGGCGGCUUACUGGACGAUGACUGACGUUGAGGCUCGAAAGCGUGGGGAGCAAACAGGAUUAGAUACCCUGGUAGUCCACGCCGUAAACGAUGACUACUAGGUGU